CUAGUCUUUGGUGGUCGCUGCCAAUUCAGCGACCGGGCGUCGCGGCCCGGCUC
Molecule: non-coding RNA, 53 nt
Filed under: Pseudomonas fluorescens HK44
Lineage: Bacteria; Pseudomonadati; Pseudomonadota; Gammaproteobacteria; Pseudomonadales; Pseudomonadaceae
Source: RNAcentral